Non-coding RNA from Pantherophis guttatus, 476 nucleotides. NCBI's taxonomy places the organism in Eukaryota, Metazoa, Chordata, Lepidosauria, Squamata, Colubridae. The record is from RefSeq and is a predicted model, not a curated record.
AACUGAUCUUAACAUUGUCUGAGACCCAUUGUGGUUACUUAGGGUUUUAUCUGUGACCUCAGGGUCACCUGAAUCAGAGGCAAAUUCAGGCUCUUUCAAAGAAAGAAAACCAUCAGCAGCCAGUCCCUUUGGAUGACAAACUUCAUCAAUAAUCAAUGACAAAUAUGAGAUUGGAUUCCUUCCUUACAGAAGAUUAUACCGUUACUUUCAAGCUGGGAUGAACACUUCCAAGUAGUGUUAACUAUUUAUACUGCUGUAAUAAUUGCUGAAAGGAUCAUGUAGUUCAUCACAUCUAUGUAAAACCUGCUGUUUUUCAGUCUAUGAGAACUUGUAGUCCACCACAUCGAUGUAAAAACUGCUGCUUUUGAUUCCAAUCCAGAAGAACCUGCAGUAUCUCCACUCAAGAUGACUAUUAUUUUAUUUUAACAAAAUCUUAGGCAGCUAGGCAGCAAGAAAGUAAAUUAAAUACAAAGCAA